CCUACGGGUGGCAGCAGUCGAGAAUCAUUCACAAUGGGGGAAACCCUGAUGUUGCGACGCCGCGUGGGGGAAUGAAGGUCUUCGGAUUGUAAACCCCUGUCAUGUGGGAGCAAAUUAAAAAGAUAGUACCACAAGAGAAAGAGACGCCUAACUCUGUGCCAGCAGCCGCGGUAAUACAGAGGUCUCAAGCGUUGUUCGGAAUCACUGGGCGUAAGGCGUGCGUAGGCUGUUUCGUAGGUCGUGUGUGAAAGGCGCGGGCUCAACCCGCGGACGGCACAUGAUACUGCGAGACUAGAGUAAUGGAGGGGGAACCGGAAUUCUCGGUGUAGCAGUGAAAUGCGUAGAUAUCGAGAGGAACACUCGUGGCGAAGGCGGGUUCCUGGACAUUAACUGACGCUGAGGCACGAAGGCCAGGGGAGCGAAAGGGAUUAGAUACCCUUGUAGUC
RNAcentral lists this ribosomal RNA (446 nucleotides) under uncultured bacterium. RNAcentral describes it as "partial 16S ribosomal RNA". It matches the Rfam family "Bacterial small subunit ribosomal RNA", at positions 338 to 795 of the family's 1533-position model. The record is from RNAcentral.